This is a long non-coding RNA of Oncorhynchus tshawytscha (Chinook salmon), 1772 nucleotides long. NCBI's taxonomy places the organism in Eukaryota, Metazoa, Chordata, Actinopteri, Salmoniformes, Salmonidae. The record is from Ensembl.
GUGUGCAAAAGGCAUGAGGAGGUAGGCGAAUAAUUACAAUUUUGCAGAUUAACACUGGAGUGAUAAAUGAUCAGAUGGUCAUGUACAGGUAGAGAUACUGGUGUGCAAAAGAGCAGAAAAGUAAAUAAAUAAAAACAGUAUGGGGAUGAGGUAGGUAAAAAUGGGUGGGCUAUUUACCGAUAGACUAUGUACAGCUGCAGCUAUCGGUUAGCUGCUCAGAUAGCAGAUGUUUGAAGUUGGUGAGGGAGAUAAAAGUCUCCAACUUCAGCGAUUUUUGCAAUUCGUUCCAGUCACAGGCAGCAGAGAACUGGAACGAAAGGCGGCCAAAUGAGGUGUUGGCUUUAGGGAUGAUCAGUGAGAUACACCUGCUGGAGCGUAGCAGGUGAGUAGGUGUGUCCAAACUUUUGACUGAUACUGUACAUACAUACAUACAUGCCAGGUCACAGUUGUAAAUGAGAACUUGUUCUCAACUUGCCUACCUGGUUAAAUAAAGGUAAAAUAAAUACAUAUAUACAUACAUACACACUGUACAAAUACACAUACAUACAUAUACAGAUAAAUAAAUACAGAUAAAAGAAACAGAAGGCAUUGAACCCAGUCUGGCACAAAGAGAAGAUUCAUGAAGGAGACAAGCCUAUACACAAUCUAUAUAUACACGUGCCAUUUACCACAUAGAAGCUAAAUAUUUGUAUAAUUCAAUUAUAGCUAGCCCUUUUUCUUUUAUUCCAGGCUUUAAUUAUCUAAAUAUUCUGCAAACGGAUAUGCACAGUGGACAAAAAACAUUUCAGUUUCUCCUCAUCGCUCAGCCACAUAAUGCUAGGGUAUAUCUAGUGUGCUGUCUGGAAUAAGAGCGAGCGUAUAUCGUGGUAGAAUGGGCAAUAGAGGAUAAAAUUAGUUUCAUUCUCUAUUUCUUCAAGGUCACAAUAGUGGAAUAGUCUUUCCUCUUCCAUUUCACCACAAUACUGACCUGUUUCAAUACGCAGAGGCAAAAUCCCUGAUCUUACCUGUUUCAAUAUGCAGAGGCAAAAUCCCUGAUCUUACCUGUUUCAAUAUGCAGAGGCAAAAUCCCUGAUCUUACCUGUUUCAAUACGCAGAGGCAAUAUCUCUGAUCUUACCUGUUUCAAUAUGCAGAGGCAAAAUCCCUGAUCUUACCUGUUUCAAUACGCAGAGGCAAUAUCUCUGAUCUUACCUGUUUCAAUACUCAGAGGCAAUAUCCCUGAUCUUACCUGUGUACAUAGAGAUCUCUUGAGAACUCCCCCUUAAUUAAGCAAAAGGUUCUCAAUUUGGGUUUAUGGUUAAUCUCCACCACCCAUUCUUUUUUCAUAUUGCAUCAACAGUUGUUUUUUAAUAAUAUCUGUCUCCCUUAAUUUGGUUUUCAUCCAGAUGUUCACAGAUAUAACUUUUAUUUUUGGAUUGACCUCUAUACUAUGUUGGGACAGCACUGCAAACUCCUGUCCACAUUGAAUGUCUUUCUGUCUGUCGUUCUUGAGUGUUCGUUCUGUGACUUCCUCUGAUACCUCCACGACCAGAACAGUGUGUAAAAGAGAGGUUGCGGCGCGGUUCAUUUUAUGGACGGAGUUUGUUCAGCAGAAUCCCAGGCAGCGUCCUCUUUUAAUUGGCUUCAAUUUAAAUGUAUGUUUAUAGCAGACGGUGUGAUAACAGGAAAAUGUAACCAGAAGAUUGUGUGUCUCUGUGUACAAGCAUUAGCCCUCCCUCCCUCCCUUCCUUCCUUCCUUCACUCCUUUCUAUCACUUCUCUCUCCCUAACUCCCC